This 370-nucleotide long non-coding RNA is filed under the name Zea mays. RNAcentral describes it as "long non-coding RNA (ZMAY_LNC003989)". Lineage: Eukaryota; Viridiplantae; Streptophyta; Magnoliopsida; Poales; Poaceae. The record is from RNAcentral.
GAACCCACUCUGGACCGGACACCUUGCUAUUGGGCUUAAGCUUCCUUUUUAAUCUUGGCUGUAGCAGCACACCAUCUUCUUCGCUUCCAGUCUCUGGCGCAGGUUCACUUGUCUUGGCAUCCUUGCGUGUGCUAACAGAAGCUUUCCAUCAGCAUAUUCAGGCCGGGUUUAGACACUGACCCCUACUUCUCUGGGCCCUGUGAACGAACGGAUACCCUGACGGCCGGGCAGAGAAAUGGUGCAAAACGUUAGCGAAGUAGCCUGGUCGUUGAAACCUGAAAAAAAUGGUCUGGCUGCUGCUGCUGCAUGGUUGCAUAAGCUCGUUUUUUACAUGCCUGAUGGCUGUAUUCUCCUGGUUUGCUGUGCUCAU